UAUUUGUGUGAAGUGUAAUGAGCAUCAUCAACUGCUUCUUGUGUAACGUUGAAUCAUCUGGAAGCCUUUGUUUGAACAGAAGCUUGCCUAUUAAUACAACAGAAGGCUAGUUUAUUUGUCCAGACUCCCAGAUGAGAAAAGUGAUGACCUUGAGAUGUGUAUGUGAAAGACAAAGCUCUAACAGAGAUGAUCACAUCUGAAUAAUAGUUCAGUGUAAUCAGAAAUGUUCUUAUGUGGUCUCCAAACCUUCUUGCAAGAAACAGAUUGGCACUGACUUCUGACAGUAAGAGCAGAACUGAAUACUUGGAAGGGGGAAAACAACAGCUGUGCCCCAGUCCUGGUUAAUAAGUUGGAAAGAGGAUAAGGUGAAAAUUGACAAUUACCUGAGCUUUGGGAGCGAAGUAGUGAUACUCAGCAUUUCUGUUACUAUUAUGUUAUUUCCACUGAGUCUCAAGCAUAUAUAAUGCAAUCGGUUCCUUUUAUAAUCUUCUUAAUAAAAAGAAGAAUGGUUUUCA
Molecule: long non-coding RNA, 515 nt
Organism: Mauremys reevesii (Reeves's turtle)
Lineage: Eukaryota; Metazoa; Chordata; Testudines; Geoemydidae
Exons: 2
Source: RefSeq, a predicted model, not a curated record